This is a non-coding RNA of Gadus morhua (Atlantic cod), 553 nucleotides long. The record is from the annotation of a RefSeq genome assembly. Lineage: Eukaryota; Metazoa; Chordata; Actinopteri; Gadiformes; Gadidae.
GGAGCUUGACAGGCAGCACAUCAGAAACAAUCUGUCAACAACAGCUUUUAAACUCUUGAUUGUUGCUGCAUUACAACAUCUGCUUGUUUCAGUAUUAGCUAUGCAGAUCUUCAUGUUAGUGGUUUUAUUCACCGGGUUUAUUGGUUAUCAGCAAUCCAUCCACUCAAUCCAGGACAGUCCAGUCCAGGCUCUACAAGGAGACGGCGUGACUCUCUCCUGCAACUACUCUUCAGCAACAUACUUCUUCUGGUAUCGGCAGUACCCCAGCUCACCUCCCAAGUUCCUUAUCAAAGAAUACAUGGAGCUAUCUGGAUUUACCUUGAAAAAGGACAGUGAUAAAAAAAUGAUGUUCCAUCUCGAGAUCUCCGCUGCUGAAGUGACAGACUCUGCUCUGUACUACUGUGCUGUAUACAUUCACAGGUGUUUAUAGUGAGGUUCUCACUCCUGUCAAAAAGGAAGAGAACGGUUUAGAAGGUACGACCGUUACUCUGUCUUACAGGCUCUCUAGAGAUGCUACUCCUGGCGAUGAUUUAUUCUGGUACCAUCAGCAAUC